Molecule: small nuclear RNA, 145 nt
Organism: Lethenteron reissneri (Far Eastern brook lamprey)
Lineage: Eukaryota; Metazoa; Chordata; Hyperoartia; Petromyzontiformes; Petromyzontidae
Product: U4 spliceosomal RNA
Source: RefSeq, a predicted model, not a curated record
UGUGCAAAGCAGCGGCAGUAUCGUAGCCGAUUAGGUUUAUCCGAGGCGCGAUUAUUGCCAAUUAAAAACUUUUCCCCAAUAUACCCCGCCACGCGCCGGCUUGCAAAAGUCGGCGUCGGUAAUUUUGGCGAGCUCCUUUAGGGAG